AGUGGGGAAUAUUGCACAAUGGGGGAAACCCUGAUGCAGCAACGCCGCGUGAGUGAUGAAGGUCUUCGGAUUGUAAAACUCUGUCUUUGGGGACGAUAAUGACGGUACCCAAGGAGGAAGCCACGGCUAACUACGUGC
This 138-nucleotide ribosomal RNA is filed under the name uncultured Bacillota bacterium. RNAcentral's name for it is "uncultured Firmicutes bacterium partial 16S ribosomal RNA". It matches the Rfam family "Bacterial small subunit ribosomal RNA", at positions 353 to 508 of the family's 1533-position model. The record is from RNAcentral. Lineage: Bacteria; Bacillati; Bacillota.